GUUCAAAUGGUUCCUGUUUUUUUCUAGGACGGCCAUUAUUCAAGGCCUUCAAUAGAGCUUCUUCUUUGGUAAAAUUAUUUACACAAAUGCUGAUUCAACACAGUGCAGUUCAAGGUGGACAGGGCAUGGUGACGAAUUGGAAUGCUUAUGGACUAUGCUCACGGAGGAUUGCAAUUGCUGCAGGUUGCUUAUUUGGCAUUCAGUGCAAAUAUCUCCUUCUGUCGACAUGCCGCCUGAGACUCUAGUUCCUCAAUUUGCAGUUUUGCAGCGAACAGCUCUUCAACCUUUCAUUCCAUCAUUCAAUAUUCCUUCAAACUGAAUAUUCAAUACACCCAAUCCAAUAGGUACUAAUGGACGCAGGACUAAUCCAUGGCCAUUUCCUUAAAGUGAGGCUUGUAAUGCAAUUGUGCAUCCCCUGAACACCGGAAAUGCAGAAAAGUAUGAUGAGCACCCACAUAAACCAUGCUGUCAUGAAGAAGAACAGCAGAACAAGAAAGGGCUAUGAUUGUUUUUACAAUUGCAGGAUUCACAACUUCCCAACUUUGCCCAUUUCAUUAUCAAACGUUUGUUGCACAUUAGUAAUAGGAAUACUGCAAUUUUCAACACAAUGGCUUAUCUCCUCCUGCCUUCUGCUUCUAUCAAAGCACACAUAUGCACAUUUAAAAUAGGCUUUCUGAAGAGUGUAGUUGACAUGGUCUUGAACAGGGGCAAGCUGAGUUUGAGCAGCUACAUUCACUUCCUCAAGUUUUUGCCUAAG
Molecule: long non-coding RNA, 757 nt
Organism: Lathyrus oleraceus (garden pea)
Lineage: Eukaryota; Viridiplantae; Streptophyta; Magnoliopsida; Fabales; Fabaceae
Exons: 4
Source: RefSeq, a predicted model, not a curated record